ACAGAGUUGAAACAUCGGAUUCCAUAUGAUCACGGAAGUUAAGAAACGUCAAGCCUGGCCAGUACUUAGAUGGGCGACAUCUUGCGAAUAUU
Molecule: non-coding RNA, 92 nt
Organism: Acanthosepion pharaonis
Lineage: Eukaryota; Metazoa; Mollusca; Cephalopoda; Sepiida; Sepiidae
Source: the annotation of a GenBank genome assembly